Molecule: ribosomal RNA, 427 nt
Filed under: Acetothermia bacterium enrichment culture
Lineage: Bacteria; Candidatus Bipolaricaulota
Description: bacterial SSU rRNA
Rfam family: Bacterial small subunit ribosomal RNA
Source: RNAcentral
UGGGGAAUCUUGGGCAAUGCCCGCAAGGGUGACCCAGCGACGCCGCGUGCGGGAAGAAGCCCUUCGGGGUGUAAACCGCUUUUCUGGGGGAAGAAUAAGGCGGGGAGGAAAUGCCCCGCCGAUGACGGUACCCCAGGAAUAAGGGACGGCUAACUACGUGCCAGCAGCCGCGGUAAGACGUAGGUCCCGAGCGUUGCCCGGAUUUACUGGGCGUAAAGUGCGCGUAGGCGGUUCGGCAAGUCGUCCGUGAAAGCCCGGGGCUCAACUCCGGGAGGCCGGGCGAAACUGCCGGGCUAGAGGACGGCAGAGGAGGGUGGAGCGGCCGGAGUAGCGGUGAAAUGCGUAGAUACCGGCCGAAAUCCCGAUGGCGAAGGCAACCCUCUAGGCCGGUCCUGACGCUGAGGCGCGAAAGCGUGGGGAGCGAACC